Molecule: long non-coding RNA, 1400 nt
Organism: Colias croceus (clouded yellow)
Lineage: Eukaryota; Metazoa; Arthropoda; Insecta; Lepidoptera; Pieridae
Exons: 2
Source: RefSeq, a predicted model, not a curated record
CUUCUUGCUCUCAGCCGAUUCACCGACGUUUUAUUAUGUUUUGGAACUAUUUUCAAAUUUAGGAUGACAAUUUGGAGACUCUUAAAAUGUUCCCUCAAUAACAACACAACUUUAGACCACUUUAACUAUUUUUAAAUAACAAAUAUUUAAGGACACAAUGUUUACAUGUCAGAAUGUGACAGAUGAAGAUGAACGAUAAUACUAUUGUCUGUUUAUAUUCAAAAUGUCAUCGAGAGUCUGAACGUUUUGAAAUUGAUCUUUACAGAUAAGUUGCUCAAAAUAUACGAAAAAUAAUUAAUACAGUUAAAACAAAAUCCACCGAUCCUUGUUAAGUUUACAAAGUUUGAAUUCAAUCAAAAUUCAAUGUCCGUAUAUAGUGGGUCAAAAUCGAGUCAUACAAACAUACAAUACAUACAAACAUUCAGAGAGCAGAGGAAUCGGAGGCACGCACCCAGCGGUCCUUGACGAGCACGUAGUCGGCGAGCGCGCCGGGUCGGUGCGGCGGCAGCACGCCCCACACGCGCGCGCCCGGCCGCAGGCGCGCCGCCGGCCCCGCGCGCUCCACGCGCCCGCAGAAGUCGCGCCCCGGCACCAGCGGCAGCUCGCUCAGCUCCGCCGCGCCCGCCGCGCUCUCCGCGCGCCGCAGCACGUUCAGCACGCGCGACCCGUACCCACCUGCUCCCGCACAAUAUAUUUAUAUGUUCCUGAGCUGCGCCACCUUAACUGCCUACCUUCUAUUCCAAGCGCACACACAGUGAAAGCAUAUUAUGACACUUUCCAUUCUAGUAAAAAUUGUAAUGCAACAUCAGACUACUUAGAACUACCUGUGUCGCGCAGUUUCACCCGCGGCCGUACCCAGAUACAAAUUCAAGUACUUCUAUACCUCAUGUGUUAAUGUGAUGUAUAACUUAAAUUUCUGUAAAAUUUCAUCGGAAUCUGUCUAGUAGUUUUUUAGUGAAAGAGUAACAGACAUCGAUCCAUCCCAUGCUUACAAACUUUGAUGUUCAUAAUAUUAGCAGGAUAGUAGAAUGAGUUUGAGUGGCCAGCCAUUCUCACACAUAAGGCAAAAAGUAGACAUACCGAGCAUAGCCACAUCAAGUGGAUUUAGAGAUGCAGCAUGUACUUUAACAAGCACAUCGUCAGUGCUCCUCAGAGCUGGCACACGAGCACUGUCCAGUUGCAGCUCUGCCAGGCCGCCAUAGCUGUGCACUCGCCACGCCCUCAUUCUGCUAGCCACACUUUUCACUUGGCUUUCUAACAUUCUUUUUACUGUAAUAACGUUAUCAAAAUAAUAAAAUUAAAUUAUUAAAGCAAUUUUGUGAAAAAUAAAAUAUUGUGUUAAAAAGCUGAAAGCAUAUCCAUUUCCAUUGUGUAUAAAUAAAUGUUUUUUCUUUCUUUCA